ACAGCAGUCGCCACGGUAAUACAGAGGGGGCUAGCGUUGUUCGGAAUUACUGGGCGUAAAGCGCACGUAGGCGGAUAUUUAAGUCAGGGGUGAAAUCCCGCAGCUCAACUGCGGAACUGCCUUUGAUACUGGGUAUCUUGAGUAUGGAAGAGGUUAGUGGAAUUGCGAGUGUAGAGGUGAAAUUCGUAAAUAUUCGCAGGAACACCAGUGGCGAAGGCGGCUAACUGGUCCAUAACUGACGCUGAGGUGCGAAAGCGUGGGGAGCAAACAGGAUUAGAUACCCCAGUAGUCCCUGUCUCUUAUAC
RNAcentral lists this ribosomal RNA (305 nucleotides) under uncultured bacterium. RNAcentral's name for it is "partial 16S ribosomal RNA". It matches the Rfam family "Bacterial small subunit ribosomal RNA", at positions 505 to 807 of the family's 1533-position model. The record is from RNAcentral.